RNAcentral lists this ribosomal RNA (301 nucleotides) under uncultured bacterium. Its description in RNAcentral is "partial 16S ribosomal RNA". It matches the Rfam family "Bacterial small subunit ribosomal RNA", at positions 509 to 807 of the family's 1533-position model. The record is from RNAcentral.
CAGUCGCCGCGGUAAUACGGAGGGGGCUAGCGUUGUUCGGAAUUACUGGGCGUAAAGCGCACGUAGGCUGCUUUGUAAGUCAGAGGUGAAAGCCCGGGGCUCAACCCCGGAUGUGCCUUUGAGACUGCAGGGCUAGAACGUCGGAGAGGUGAGUGGAAUUCCGAGUGUAGAGGUGAAAUUCGUAGAUAUUCGGAAGAACACCAGUGGCAAAGGCGGCUCACUGGACGACUGUUGACGCUGAGGUGCGAAAGCGUGGGGAGCAAACAGGAUUAGAUACCCCGGUAGUCCCUGUCUCUUAUAC